Molecule: ribosomal RNA, 453 nt
Filed under: uncultured Barnesiella sp.
Lineage: Bacteria; Pseudomonadati; Bacteroidota; Bacteroidia; Bacteroidales; Barnesiellaceae
Description: bacterial SSU rRNA
Rfam family: Bacterial small subunit ribosomal RNA
Source: RNAcentral
ACGGGAGGCAGCAGUGAGGAAUAUUGGUCAAUGGAGGCAACUCUGAACCAGCCAUCUCGCGUGAAGGAAUACGGCCCUAUGGGUCUUAAACUUCUUUUAUAGGGGGAUAAAGUGAGGCAUGUAUGCCUUUUUGUAGGUACCCUAUGAAUAAGCAUCGGCUAACUCCGUGCCAGCAGCCGCGGUAAUACGGAGGAUGCGAGCGUUAUCCGGAUUUAUUGGGUUUAAAGGGAGCGCAGGCGGCGCGUCAAGUCAGCGGUAAAAUGUCGGGGCUCAACCCCGGUCGGCCGUUGAAACUGCCGUGCUCGAGUUCGUGCGAGGAGAGCGGAAUGCGUGGUGUAGCGGUGAAAUGCAUAGAUAUCACGCAGAACGCCGAUUGCGAAGGCAGCCCUCCAGCACUGGACUGACGCUGAGGCUCGAAAGCGUGGGUAUCGAACAGGAUUAGAUACCCUGGUA